ACCUGUAUACUUUCCCAGAAAUAUAAAAUAUAAAUAUACAUAUAUAUAUUCUCAAUACUUCAAUUCAUUAACUCAACAUUUUCUCAUAUUAAUUAUGCCAUGCCACAUCAUCUCAACAUUUCUCAUAUUAAUUAUGCCAUGCCACAUCAUCUCAACAGUAAUAAGGUAUGAAUGCAUCAACAUAAAUCAUAUCAGGUGCAAUAAAGUAAUCAACCGGAGGCCCUCUAUUAGCCCGGUUGAACCUAGAGCUCAAAAUCUA
RNAcentral lists this long non-coding RNA (259 nucleotides) under Malus domestica (apple). Its description in RNAcentral is "long non-coding RNA (MDOM_LNC002558)". The record is from RNAcentral. Lineage: Eukaryota; Viridiplantae; Streptophyta; Magnoliopsida; Rosales; Rosaceae.